Molecule: ribosomal RNA, 492 nt
Filed under: uncultured bacterium
Lineage: Bacteria
Description: partial 16S ribosomal RNA
Rfam family: Bacterial small subunit ribosomal RNA
Source: RNAcentral
AGUGAACGCUGGCGGUAGGCCUAACACAUGCAAGUCGAACGGCAGCACAGUAAGAGCUUGCUCUUACGGGUGGCGAGUGGCGGACGGGUGAGGAAUACAUCGGAAUCUACUUUUUCGUGGGGGAUAACGUAGGGAAACUUACGCUAAUACCGCAUACGACCUACGGGUGAAAGCAGGGGAUCUUCGGACCUUGCGCGUUUGAAUGAGCCGAUGUCGGAUUAGCUAGUUGGCGGGGUACAGGCCCACCAAGGCGACGAUCCGUAGCUGGUCUGAGAGGAUGAUCAGCCACACUGGAACUGAGACACGGUCCAGACUCCUACGGGAGGCAGCAGUGGGGAAUAUUGGACAAUGGGCGCAAGCCUGAUCCAGCCAUACCGCGUGGGUGAAGAAGGCCUUCGGGUUGUAAAGCCCUUUUGUUGGGAAAGAAAAGCAGCAGGUUAAUACCCCGCUGUUCUGACGGUACCCAAAGAAUAAGCACCGGCUAACUUCGUG